ACCCGCUGAACUUAAGCAUAUCAAUAAGCGGAGGAAAAGAAACCAACAGGGAUUGCCUCAGUAACGGCGAGUGAAGCGGCAAGAGCUCAAAUUUAAAAACCGACGUAGCUUUAAGAGACGUCCGCAUUGUAAUUUGAAGAGGCAUUCUCGGGUCGGGGCUCAGGCCUAAGUUCCUUGGAAGAGGGCGUCGUGGAGGGUGAGAACCCCGUUCGCGGCCUGCUGUCGACCUUUCCCCGAUCCACACGAGGUGCCAUCGAAGAGUCGAGUUGUUUGGGAAUGCAGCUCAAAGCGGGUGGUAAAUUCCAUCUAAAGCUAAAUAUUGACGGGAGACCGAUAGCGAACAAGUAGAGUGAUCGAAAGAUGAAAAGCACUUUGGAAAGAGAGUUAAACAGCACGUGAAAUUGUUGAAAGGGAAGCGCUUGAGACCAGUCACGGACCGAGGCGAUCAGUGGGACGUCCCUCUCGGGGGAGGAACCGCGCACUCGCUUUUCGGGUUUUCCGGGUCAACAUCGGUUGGGACGGUGUCAGAAAGGUCGCGGGAACGUGGCUCCCUUCACGGGGAGUGUUAUAGCCCGUGGCGUCAAAGUCGCCAGUUUCGACCGAGGACCGCGCUCGUCUUUUUCGAGCAAGGAUGUUGACGUAAUGGUCCC
RNAcentral lists this ribosomal RNA (650 nucleotides) under uncultured fungus. RNAcentral describes it as "eukaryotic LSU rRNA". It matches the Rfam family "Eukaryotic large subunit ribosomal RNA", at positions 23 to 641 of the family's 3401-position model. The record is from RNAcentral. Lineage: Eukaryota; Fungi.